ACUUAUUCCCUGGCGCUGGCAGUUGUCAAACUGGGUCUUGUAGAUGCUAAGUCUCCAUAGAGGUAUCGUAGGAUAUUCUUUCUGGGAGCCCUGAGCCCAUCUAACCUCCAGUUCGUCCAUCAACUGAUUACUGCUCAGUCACCUCAGAUGAUACCACUGGGAGCCAGAGAACUGCCUAGCUGUGCCCUGCCUGAAUGUCUGACUCAUCACUCAUGGUGAAAUCAUACGUGAUGUGUAGGGAAGUGUGUGGGGCAGUGGAAGGAAUGUGGACCGUUGCCUCCCUUCGCUUGUCUGGAUGACCUUGGAUGAGGCCUCAAUCCUGGUAGUCACCUGGACUCCUCCUGAAUUUCCCGCAUGUCCUGCAGCAGUGACCCCAUCUGACAUGUUGUGUGGCUGGCUGUCCCCCAGUGAAAUCAUAGCCCUGGAGGGCAGGGUGUGUUUCUUCGUUUUCCUGCCUGGUGUGUGGAGACCCUGUGUGACCGUGGCGCAGAUCAGGAGCUCGACGGAGCUUUGCUUUUGUUGCCCAGGCUGGAGUGGAAUGGCACAAUCUCUGCUCACUGCAACCUCCACCUCCCAGGUUCAAGCAAUUCUUCUGCCUCAGCCUCCUGAGCAGCUGGGAUUACAGUGUUGGGAGAAAAGCUUGGGAUGACCGACUGCGGGGGCGAGUGGCGGUGGCCAGCUGAGGUCGGCCCUGAAGGUGCUCCUAACACAGCCUGCGAGCUGCCCACGGGGACGGACAGACGCGUGUGCCUGCCUCAUGCUGGUGUUGGAGGUCAUUUCCUCCUCAUGUGUCCAAAGAAUUACUUGAAGUAACACUGAUGGAUGGCAGCCCUGUGGCCUGGGUUCCUCCGAUACCUGUGAGGCAGUAUCUUUAACACCACCCCUACAGUCGGGGCCUUUCAGAUGCCAGGCUGUCCUGGGUCUUUUACAUGGGCCUUUUCAUGGACCAGAGUGGGGCUUCCCAAACGGCAAUCUGGAGCCCUUUCCACCAGCAUGGCAGGCCCAGGAAUGAAGGAUGCUAGUGGACACGUUGCUCAUGACCCUGACUGCAGCCUCCAGCACCCCUCUUGUUUCCUCCCCCCUCCAGCCACUUUUUUGAAACAAAAUUUUCUUUUAAUUUUUACGUACUUAAAUCAUACCAUGUUUUUAUGACUUUGACACUGUGCUAGAAAAACUCACCCUGCCACAGAGUAAGUCAAAUAUUCACCUAUGUAAUCUCUUCCCAUGCUCAUGUUUUCAUUUUUUAUACAUAAACCUUAAUUCCUUCUAGAAUUCAUUUGGGUACAUGCUGUGAUGUAUGGCUUUGUCUUUAUUCAUUCCAGCGGUUAGCCAGUUUUCCCAAUACCAUCAUUUACAGGACAAUCUAUGCUUCACCCACUGGUCUGAAGUGCCAGCUUUAUCAUAAACUAAGUAUGUGUCUGUACACGUACAUAACAAAUAAGUUUAUAUUUUAUAUAAUGCACACGUGUUUAUGGACUUUUAGUCAUCUUAACAGUUUUUCAGUCUAUCAGUCUAUUACUGUUGCAGUAACACCAUUUUAUUGAUUGUAGCUUUAUAAAGCAUUUCAGUAUCUAAGAAGAUAUAUCUCCCUCAUAAAAUAUUUUCCCAA
This is a long non-coding RNA of Homo sapiens (human), 1609 nucleotides long. Ensembl annotates it as long intergenic non-protein coding RNA 2572. Lineage: Eukaryota; Metazoa; Chordata; Mammalia; Primates; Hominidae. The record is from Ensembl.